This 2080-nucleotide ribosomal RNA is filed under the name Streptococcus pneumoniae GA13338. Its description in RNAcentral is "bacterial LSU rRNA". It matches the Rfam family "Bacterial large subunit ribosomal RNA", at positions 14 to 2116 of the family's 2925-position model. The record is from RNAcentral. Lineage: Bacteria; Bacillati; Bacillota; Bacilli; Lactobacillales; Streptococcaceae.
AGGGCGCACGGUGGAUGCCUUAGGCACUAGGAGCCGACGAAGGACGUGACAAACGACGAUAUGCCUUGGGUAGCUGUAAGUAAGCGAUGAUCCAGGGAUUUCCGAAUGGGGGAACCCAACAGGUAGUACCUGUUACCCACAUCUGUUAAGGAUGUGAGGAGGAAGACGCAGUGAACUGAAACAUCUAAGUAGCUGCAGGAAGAGAAAGCAAAAGCGAUUGCCUUAGUAGCGGCGAGCGAAACGGCAGAAGGGCAAACCGAAGAGUUUACUCUUCGGGGUUGUAGGACUGCAAUGUGGACUCAAAGAUUAUAGAAGAAUGAUUUGGGAAGAUCAGCCAAAGAGAGUAAUAGCCUCGUAUUUUAAAUAGUCUUUGUACCUAGCAGUAUCCUGAGUACGGCGGGACACGUGAAAUCCCGUCGGAAUCUGGGAGGACCAUCUCCCAACCCUAAAUACUCCCUAGUGACCGAUAGUGAACCAGUACCGUGAGGGAAAGGUGAAAAGCACCCCGGGAGGGGAGUGAAAUAGAACCUGAAACCGUGUGCCUACAACAAGUUCGAGCCCGUUAAUGGGUGAGAGCGUGCCUUUUGUAGAAUGAACCGGCGAGUUACGUUAUGAUGCGAGGUUAAGUUGAAGAGACGGAGCCGUAGGGAAACCGAGUCUGAAUAGGGCGCCUUAGUAUCAUGACGUAGACCCGAAACCAUGUGACCUACCCAUGAGCAGGUUGAAGGUGCGGUAAGACGCACUGGAGGACCGAACCAGGGCACGUUGAAAAGUGCUUGGAUGACUUGUGGGUAGCGGAGAAAUUCCAAACGAACUUGGAGAUAGCUGGUUCUCUCCGAAAUAGCUUUAGGGCUAGCGUCGACAUUAGAGAUUCUUGGAGGUAGAGCACUGUUUGGGUGAGGGGUCCAUCCCGGAUUACCAAUCUCAGAUAAACUCCGAAUGCCAAUGAAUUAUGGUCGGCAGUCAGACUGCGAGUGCUAAGAUCCGUAGUCGAAAGGGAAACAGCCCAGACCACCAGCUAAGGUCCCAAAAUAAUUGUUAAGUGGAAAAGGAUGUGGGGUUGCACAGACAACUAGGAUGUUAGCUUAGAAGCAGCUAUUCAUUCAAAGAGUGCGUAAUAGCUCACUAGUCGAGUGACCCUGCGCCGAAAAUGUACCGGGGCUAAAACAAUUUACCGAAGCUGUGGAUACCUUUAUAGGUAUGGUAGGAGAGCGUUCUAUGUGUGAUGAAGGUAUACCGUGAGGAGUGCUGGAACGCAUAGAAGUGAGAAUGCCGGUAUGAGUAGCGAAAGACAGGUGAGAAUCCUGUCCACCGUAAGACUAAGGUUUCCAGGGGAAGGCUCGUCCGCCCUGGGUUAGUCGGGACCUAAGGAGAGACCGAAAGGUGUAUCCGAUGGACAACAGGUUGAUAUUCCUGUACUAGAGUAUGUAGUGAUGGAGGGACGCAGUAGGCUAACUAAAGCAGACGAUUGGAAGAGUCUGUCUAAGCAGUGAGGUGUGAAUUGAGUCAAAUGCUUAAUUCUAUAACAUUGAGCUGUGAUGGGGAGCGAAGUUUAGUAGCGAAGUUAGUGACGUCACACUGCCAAGAAAAGCUUCUAGCGUUUAAACAUACUCUACCCGUACCGCAAACCGACACAGGUAGUCGAGGCGAGUAGCCUCAGGUGAGCGAGAGAACUCUCGUUAAGGAACUCGGCAAAAUGACCCCGUAACUUCGGGAGAAGGGGUGCUGACUUUAAGUCAGCCGCAGUGAAUAGGCCCAAGCAACUGUUUAUCAAAAACACAGCUCUCUGCUAAAUCGUAAGAUGAUGUAUAGGGGGUGACGCCUGCCCGGUGCUGGAAGGUUAAGAGGAGUGCUUAGCGUAAGCGAAGGUAUGAAUUGAAGCCCCAGUAAACGGCGGCCGUAACUAUAACGGUCCUAAGGUAGCGAAAUUCCUUGUCGGGUAAGUUCCGACCCGCACGAAAGGCGUAAUGAUUUGGGCACUGUCUCAACGAGAGACUCGGUGAAAUUUUAGUACCUGUGAAGAUGCAGGUUACCCGCGACAGGACGGAAAGACCCCAUGGAGCUUUACUGCAGUUUGAUA